Long non-coding RNA from Drosophila yakuba, 722 nucleotides. RefSeq lists it as uncharacterized. Lineage: Eukaryota; Metazoa; Arthropoda; Insecta; Diptera; Drosophilidae. The transcript is spliced from 2 exons. The record is from RefSeq and is a predicted model, not a curated record.
CCGCUCUCGAACCUAACCUCAAAUGUGUGUUUUUUUCGGCCUGCUCAGCUGUUUACGUAGCAACUGUGCGAAGAGCGGGAGAGGGGGGGCAGUCGACGACGCAUGCGUUUCGCGGCGAAUGGCGCUCGCCGCACAGUGGCCGCCAACAGUUGCCGCCCACACAAACUCCACAUUGCGCCGAGUAACACGCGGGCGCACAACUUGCGGCAGCCACUGUGCCUCGCUGGUUCGCCGUGUGUGACUUUCGGGAAUGUAGGUCAGUGACACCCAAAACACAUGGUCCGUCCGCCUGUGUGGCACGUCACAAGUCGUCGCCUUUUGUAAGCGCUACUUGUGCUCAAGCGAAUCUGGACAAUACGCACCGAUCGAGUGGCAUCGUCUUGAUAUAAUCAAGUAAUUUGCCAGCGCUACCUGUUCCAAAGGCCUUUCACCGGGAAUAACCUUUGCAGUGAGCUGAGUUACUCGGGGAUUUGAUAAAAAAAAUUCGUCAACACAUUAUUGGCCCGCUCGGAGAUUCAUUUGGGACGGAUAUCUUGUUUUCUCUUGAAAGCAAUGAUAAUUUUGAUAAAGUGGAUAACUCACCAUCGCCACACCUCCUCCUCCUCCUCCUUCACCUUCGUCUUCUGCCGUUUGGUGGGGGAGACGACUUCGGGCUCCUGGUGGAGAAAUGAUAUGUAUUGUUCAGUCAUGUGUGUACUUGAGAUAAAAUAACGCAAAGCCUA